RNAcentral lists this ribosomal RNA (467 nucleotides) under uncultured bacterium. RNAcentral's name for it is "partial 16S ribosomal RNA". It matches the Rfam family "Bacterial small subunit ribosomal RNA", at positions 28 to 507 of the family's 1533-position model. The record is from RNAcentral.
GACGAACGCUGGCGGCGUGCUUAACACAUGCAAGUCGAACGCAAAGGCCUCUUUCGGGUGGUCCUCGAGUGACCAGCGAGCGAGUAACUAGCGCGUGACCUGCCCUUGUCUUUGGGGUAGCUUCCGUAAACAAAGGCAAGUACAGGCUGGAUGCUACUGCUACACGGAGGGGGUUGGAUAGAUUCGGCGGUUGGGGUUAGUCUCGCAGCUUAUCAGGUUGUUUGUGGGGGAGUGGAUUACAAAGGCUCAGCCGGGUAGCCGGCCUUAGAGGGUGACCGGCCACAAUAGGACUGAGAGACGGCGCAGACGGCUACGGGAGGCAGCAGUGGGGAAUAUUGCACAAUGGGGGGAAGCCUGAUGCAGAAACGCUGGGUGCGGGAUGACGGGCUGCGGGUUGUAAACCGCGGUCGCUCAUGACGAAGCAUUGUGUGACGGUAGUGGGUAAAGAAGCAACGGCUAACUACGUG